Hyla sarda is the source of this 1098-nucleotide long non-coding RNA. RefSeq lists it as uncharacterized. The transcript has 2 exons. The record is from RefSeq and is a predicted model, not a curated record. NCBI's taxonomy places the organism in Eukaryota, Metazoa, Chordata, Amphibia, Anura, Hylidae.
CCAUAUUUAUCAUUGGAUUUCAUACUGGACUAUACAAUCUAUCCAUUCACCUUUCCUCUUCUCAUUAUGCGAUAAUUUUCAUCCAGUUUUACUACCUAGAGCGCACAGUUGGUACCGAUACACGCACAGUGAUCUGGAGCAUGGGAUCGGUUCACAUACACCGACAGCUCAACGAAAUAUGAUGGUUGACAGGACCUGUGGUCGGUUCAAACACACCGACAGGACAAAUAUGCCAAGAUGUCUAUCCUAUCUAGGAGACUUGCGUGUGCUCAUAAAUAAGGGAUGCCCACUCCUCUCCCUUUUUUUCUUUAUGCCUCUGUGUGGAUACCUGUUGCCAAGGACAACGACAGACGGAACAGGUCCCCCCACUCUCUUUUUUUCCCUAUGGGGAUUUCACAUUCUCUUCCUCACAACAACACCCACGAAUGGUGAAUAGACUUACCAAUUACUCACCUCAGAAAAAGCCCCGCAUGGAUACGCUCAUCGCUCACUACCUCUGAAGCUGCUGAGUAGUCCCAGUUGCAAGGUCGCCAAGGUACGGACGCACUGGUUGCCAAGGACGCGACUCACAGUACGCAUGAGCAGCUCAUUCUCUACAUUCCACAGGCCCAUUACGCAUGCGCUAAUGACGGAGAGAGGUUUCCAUGGUAGCAAUGACGUCAUUUAGACGCCGCUACCUCCUCUCAACCCGGAAGCGUUGCUAACAGCCGCGAAUCUCUUCAGUAUCACGCUGGAUCGGCGUCUCUGCAACACAGGCAUCAUGGCGAGGAAACCGGAAGCAUUUCACGUCUACACGCCCCUGCAUGUAUACUUAUGUUAUUUUCACACUUUAUAUGAUCAGUAUCUAAUCUCUGAUCACUGUAUUACAUGUAUAUACACUUUGAUACUUUAUACGUUAUGUAAUGUUCAAGAUAUUCACUGUGAUUUUGUAUGCACCUGGUUUACUUAUGUAAAUUGUUUUGCUAAUUAUGUCACAUGACCGAAUGGGAGGUCUAUUUAUACCCACCUAUGUCACUAUCAGUUACUUGAGAAAGCCAGUGAGAGACUGGUGAAACGUUGUCUUUGCACAUGCUGGAAUAAACACCACCUUAUGCAUUA